Molecule: ribosomal RNA, 550 nt
Filed under: uncultured Gammaproteobacteria bacterium
Lineage: Bacteria; Pseudomonadati; Pseudomonadota; Gammaproteobacteria
Description: bacterial SSU rRNA
Rfam family: Bacterial small subunit ribosomal RNA
Source: RNAcentral
UAACUCUGUGCCAGCAGCCGCGGUAAUACAGAGGGUGCAAGCGUUAAUCGGAAUUACUGGGCGUAAAGGGCGCGUAGGUGGUAGCGUAAGUGAGAUGUGAAAUCCCCCGGGCUUAACCUGGGACGUGCAUCUUAUACUGCGUAACUGGAGUGCAAUAGAGGGUAGUGGAAUUUCCGGUGUAGCGGUGAAAUGCGUAGAUAUCGGAAGGAACACCAGUGGCGAAGGCGGCUACCUGGAUUGACACUGACACUGAGGCGCGAGAGCGUGGGGAGCAAACAGGAUUAGAUACCCUGGUAGUCCACGCUGUAAACGAUGAAAACUAGAUGUUGUUGGGCUUAGACCCAUCAGUAUCGAAGCUAACGCGAUAAGUUUUCCGCCUGGGGAGUACGGUCGCAAGAUUAAAACUCAAAGAAAUUGACGGGGGCCCGCACAAGCGGUGGAGCAUGUGGUUUAAUUCGAUGCAACGCGAAGAACCUUACCUACCCUUGACAUCCAGAGAAUCCUGCAGAGAUGCGGGAGUGCCGAAAGGAAUUCUGAGACAGGUGCUGCA